GCUGGGCAGCCUUGGAGCAGCUCCACACGAUGGGAAAGGGUGAAACGGCCCUGAGGAGAGGCUGGCUGGGCUGGUGUCACCGCCAAGGUGACCUGGGGACAAGGCAGGGUGUUUACAAGGCUCGCAGUGCCCCGGCCCCGGGCGGCAGGAGGGGGAAGCUGCCCGUGCCCCUGGCAGGGAGAUUCUGCAAGGACAAGCCUCUUAAAUCAAACCUAACCCGGCUGCGGGGCGAGCUGCCGAGGGAAAUCCGGAGCUGCUCGGGGCAAGAGUUAAAACGUGUUAAGCACCGAGAUCCAGGCCAGAUGUGGAACUCUCCGGGGCCACCACGGGGCUUUGAGCCGCUUGUUUGACACCUCUGCUUUCGACAUUAAAAGUCCCAGCGGGGAGGAAAUCCUCCUGGCCUGAGUUAUGUGCUAUUUACCGAGGGGGGCAGCCCUUGAAAGGAGUCCCAGUAAAACCUGGAAUAAGAUGCUGGAUGAAGAUAAAAAAUCCUCCUGCCUCUGAGGGAUAAGGGAAGGCUGGAAGUGUGUGAGAGCUCCAGGCUCCGUUUGGAAAAGCACUCACAGGCAAUAAACCCCUGCUCUUCCUGCUCAAUUGCUGGCAUGGGACAGCAGAGGCUUCUCCCGGCCCCGAGUCAGAUGUGGGGAGGAAAAAUCAGGAAUUACUGGCUGGAUGCUGCAAGUCCCCAUCAGGAAUCUCCCCCUCUCUCUGCUCCUCUCCGUUCCCAGGUUUUCCUGUGGUUCAGUGAAGUGCUGGAAUCCCUGGAAACGUCCAAAAAAUGUGUGAAUGCAGCAUUUGGGGACCUGGCUUCACGGGUAGCGCUGUUAAAGCUCACUUUCACCACGAUGGAUCUCAUUCUUUCUGGCCCUCCUACGUAAAAAAUAAAGAAACGACCCUUAAGUUGCAGGAAAAGGAUUUCCCUAAGCUCAGAGGGCUCAGGAAUUUUUCCAGGGGUCUUCACCCUCACCUGGCUCAGAGGCCACCAGGCGUGGACAGAGGGCAGUGACAGGGCUGGAUUUUGAGGCAGAACCCCCAAAACAGGCGAGCAAAGCCCUCUGGCUCCCGGCUCAGAUCCUCCCCCUCUCCCUGAGGCCGGGAUCACAAACCCCGAGGGGCUGACGUGGCUCAGGGCCCCUCUCCCCACGGAUUCCACCCCCAGCCUCAGCCUCCCCAGGAUGCUGGAUCCGUGUCUGCACGCUUUUCCUGUGCCCUGACAUGACUGCAAGUGGCAGGGCUGCUCCUGCCCAUCACUGCCUGCCCUUGACUUGUCUUCCAGACACGUUGCUUUUUCUUUUUCUUUUUUUUUUUCUUUCUUUUUUUUUUUUUUUUUUCCCCCUCCCAGGGUUUGAUUUCCUUGCUUGUUUGUUUUCCUCCCUGCUCGGUGUCAGAGCAGCUCCAGGGCUCGUUCUGAGGCUGACAGGACUUAAGGGAUGGGGUUUUUCUGCUGUAGAGAAAUCCUUCUCUUUGUAUCAGAAAGGACACAGCCAGUGCUGGCUGGGGAUCCAAAGGUGCCAAAGGCUUGCAGGGGAGAGGAGAGGCAGCUCCUCCAUCCCCUCUCCUCCCUGGAGAUCCCUCCUGAGGCCAGGCUGCUGGAAAGGGCUCCAUGGCUCAGGGGGAGCAGAGAACUCCUAAAAAUACCCGGGAGGCAGAUGUUCUAGGGAGCUCUGCUCACAAAGAAGUACAAAUAAAAGUGUCCCAGGUGUCCCGGGGCUGUCCCAGGAUUCUCCCAGGGCUGUCCCAGUGCUGUCCUGGGGCUGUCCCAGGAUUGUCCCAGUGACGUCCCAGUGCUGUCCCAGUGCUGUCCCAGGAUUGUCCCAGUGACGUCCCAGCACUGUCCCAGCGCUGUCCCAGGAUUGUCCCAGGGCUGUCCCAGGAUUGUCCCAGUGAUGUCCCAGUGAUGUCCCAGUGCUAUCCCAGCACUGUCCCAGGGCUGUCCCGGGGCUGUCCCAGGAUUCUCCCAGUGCUAUCCCAGCACUGUCCCAGCGCUGUCCCGGGGCUGUCCCUCUCCUGAGUCACCCAGGCCCUGGGCACACUCCCUGCCCUGCCCUGCCCUGCCGUGCCGCAGGUUCCCAUGGCCAGCAGCUUCUCUGUGCCCGUCCUGACUCAGCCCGGACCUGCCGGGCUGGCCCAGCCGGUCUCUCUCAGGUGUGGCCGCGUUAUUUGCUCGCUGAUUACCGGAAUAAAACCAUCAUUAACCCGCUGCUGCCACCCCGCCGGGCGUGUGCCUCCCGUCUGCAGCCAGCCCCUGUCCCUGCCAGCCCCGGGGGUGCCCUUUGGGGCUGCAUCCCUGCUCACAGGGCACCUCCGAGCCCACACUUCCCAGGUUUGUGCCUUAUCCCAUUCCCAGGAGUGGGAUGGGAAAGAAGAGGAGGAAGGAUGGGGCUUGGAGAGUGCCCAGAACUCAGCACUGGCUCCAUCUCUGUAAGAAAAGGGGGGAAAUGACAUGUUAAAUUACAUGUUAAAUUACAUGUUAAAUUGCAUUUCAAAUGACAUUUUAAAUUACAUUUUAAGCUGAUGUAUUCCUUGCAAACGCAAGCACAGCUGGGUUUCUCAGGGCAGGGAUUUGCUGGCUUUGUCCUGCACAAAUGUCCCAUCCCAGAGCUCAGGGCUGACCCCACACCCACAUUGUGGCACUGGCACGUGUGUCCCAGCCCUGGGGGAGUUCUGCAUCCUGGGAAAUCCCUGGAAGCAGCUUUGGGCUGAAAGAGCUCCUUGUGUGGCUGGGACAGCAGCGCCCGACAUGUCCCCAGGGCUGGCGCUGUCCCUGCUCCUCCAGCUGUGCCACAGUGACCCCAGAGCUGUCCCCAAAAUUCCCUGCCCCUAAGGCUGGCCCAGCUCGGGGCUCACACCUGGCCAGGCGUGGGGGUGGCACACGGGGACCCUGCAGAGGUGACAGAGGUGACAGAGGUGACAAUUCCCUCACACACUGCCAGACCCCGGGGUUAUUUAGCAGCAGCCCUUCCCUCCACCUUUGGAGAUUUAAUGCAUUCCAGGGAAAGAAAAGCACAGCACUCCCAGAAAUUAAUUUGCAGCCACUCUGCAGAAUUUAUUUUUUAAAAAAUCAGAUUUCCCCCGUUUUAAGCAGCGAUUCCUUCUCACUUUUUUUUCCCCUGUGACACCAAAUCAUGCACUGUGACAUCCCAGAGGCUGCAGAGCUCUGCUGCCAGCUGCUGCUGCUGAUGUGCAGCCCCAGGGAUGCAGCCCAGGUGUGGGCCAGGAUUGACUCUGCCUCUCCAAAACCACUGAAAAUUCCCCAGCAGGACAGGCUGGGAAUAUCCUGGAGCAGCCCAGCCCUGCAGAGAGCAGCUGACAUUUCCACCAGGCUGAAAGCAAGGAGGAUUUCUGGAGGAAAGGGGGUAAAUUUGGGUCAGUGGUGCUGCUUGCUGGGAGCAGGGCAGGAAGUGGCUGUGUUUACAGGGCUGGAGUUGUUUUUUUCCUGUGGCACACACACGGAAUGCUCUCGGAGCCUGGAAAUGGUUUUUAUGGGAGACAGCAAUUAUCCUGCAGGGUGAAUUAAAAAAAAAUAUUCGUGUGGCAAAUGAAUUUGUAGAUUAAAAAAUAGCCGGCUUCUGAUUGUAACAGCGUGAAUUAUAACUUCUGUAUCGUCACACGAGACUGAAAAUGGAAUAAAAGUUUUAAAAACA
Molecule: long non-coding RNA, 3644 nt
Organism: Onychostruthus taczanowskii (white-rumped snowfinch)
Lineage: Eukaryota; Metazoa; Chordata; Aves; Passeriformes; Passeridae
Exons: 6
Source: RefSeq, a predicted model, not a curated record